This 2447-nucleotide long non-coding RNA is filed under the name Canis lupus familiaris (dog). RNAcentral's name for it is "lncRNA (ENSCAFG00845030280.1)". Lineage: Eukaryota; Metazoa; Chordata; Mammalia; Carnivora; Canidae. The record is from RNAcentral.
UGAAGCUGCUUCAUCUCAUUCCUGAUUCUAAUUGAUCCCUUCAGUGGUUCGUUCUUGAAUUAGCAACAUAGAACUGGCCCAAAUGGGUUUAAAGUGGUUAGAACUUGCUCAUGACCAGUUAAAAUCUUUUCUCACAAAGAAAAAUCAGUUCUGACCAGUUCAAAUCUAUUUUGACUAGUUUAAACUAAUUCUGCAGAACUGGAGCCUGAGGUCGGUAAACUCAGAAAGAUGGCUGAAGACGAUGCUGAUCCGAGCCAAAGCAAGGAAUCAGGUGUUUCUGGCUAGAGCUGCCAUUCAUCAGAUCCACCAAGAGGAACAGCCAGUCUUCACUGUCUAAUGCAGUGCUUACCACAAUUAUGGAGGCCAAGAUAUGCCACAAUAUUCCAUCUACAAGUUAGAGAACCAGGAAAGCCAGUGGUAUAACUCAUUCCCAGUCCAAAGGUCUGAGAACCAGGAGAACAAAUGUUGUAACUUUUAGUCUGAGGCUGAAGACUUGAGAACCAGGAGAGAAGGAUGUUCUGGUGUAAGUCCUGAAGUCUAAAGGCCUGAAAACUAGAAGCUCUGAUGGGCAGGAUAAGCUGAAAGCCCCAGCUCAAGAAUAGAGAGGUCUCAGUUCAUGAUGGUGAUGUAGGAGAAUCUUGAACUCACCUCCUCCCAUGGACAUACUGAACUUACAGCUACAUAUGGAACAUUUUCCCGUGAAGAAACUCAAAAAUAGCUGAGAAAUUCUUAUAAGUCAAGCAAAAGAGAAAAAAAACACACAUCUAAAUGGCUAAGUGAGGGUGAAAUAGUCUUGUCAUAAACGCCACAACCAGGAAGAAACUCCAAGAAUGUCCCUGAAAAGUGAAGGGCUUGAAUCCCACAUUUGGCACCAAAACUUUUAAGACCUGCGUCUGACAGAUGAACCUGCAAAAACAUCUAGCUUCUGAAGUCAAAGGGGCUUGUGUCUCUUAUAUCCAUAAGGCUGCAGAAAGUUGGGAAACAAUUCUUUAAGGGUUCACAUAGAUUCACCUACAUAUUCCCCAGGACCCAAUACAAAGGCAAUUGACUGAAAUGGUCCCAGUCUUUGUAUGAAAGAGGUUUAUUUUCUUAUCGUAAAGCUUUGACAUGAGAGGCAAGCAUUUACUUUAAUAUAUGACUAGAGUCCUCCUGAAAUACUCUCCAAAGACAUGGAAACCUGUGGGUGUCAUCUUUGCCCUCUCUACCUUGUUCCAGGUCCCUGGUAACUUCCAGAAAGGAGUUUGCAGACACAUCUUAGGUCCAUGAUUUUUGUAGCUGCUGCCCAAAGGAAAUCCCUUGAUUGCUGGCUCUGGUGGCUAUCAUAUCAUAUACUCAUGGGUCCAACAGAACCAUAACAAACAGAGAGUUUUUAACCAGCUAUACCUCAGGGCAACAGAGAGACAAUAGUCUGAAACAUUCGUCUUCUGCGAAAGAUUCAUAUUAGCUUAUCUUCAUGACUGGUCUGAGGGAGAGGCUUGUAAUUAAAGACACAUAUAAGGGCCAACCAUAACCCUCUCCACACACCUCAGAGGGUGGACACUAUCUUUGUGCAUUUCUUCUGCUUCACUCCAGGUUUCCAGUAUUGUCUGAAAAAAAGCUUGUGUACCCCUGUGGUACUCCAGUUUUUAUGGCUGUUUGGCUGUUGUCCACAUGACACAUCCUUUGAUAGCUUGGCUGUGGUGUCCAGUGGCGGGGGGGGGGGGGCUUGUUUUUCCAGGUUCAAUGGGACAGUUGCAAACAAAGAAACAAUUCUUAAAAUGGCAAUCACCUCAAGCCUCAGUGCAGAGGAAGCAGAGAUAAAUUUCCACCUCCUAUUCUUCCCUUGAAAAAGGUAUGUUUGCAUACUUUAAAAGCUGCUGCAUGAGGUUCUGGCUUCAAUCAGCCUGAAUCUAGACGCUGACUGAGAUUCUCCCCUAUGGGACACUGAGAGGUCUUGGCACACUCUUAACUACUGGGAACAAUUAAGAACAAAGUAGGAUGCUUGGAUUAUCACACAGGUUUGAGAAACAAUCAAGAGCCAGGGGAAGGAUGAAUGAUAAGGUUCAUACCCUACACAAGGCCAUUCCUUCAAAACUGAUAGAAGUAGCUGUUUUAUCUAACGCAUACAAAACAAAAUAGAGUUAACAAAAGUGAACAACAGGGGAAUAUGUCCUAAACAAAGAACAAUAUAAAACAUAAGAAAAAGACUAUAAUGAAAUAAAUUGAUUUAUCUGAUAAAUAAUUCAAAGUACUGGUAACAAAUAUACUCACUGAGGUUGGAAAGACAAUACAUGAACAAAGUGAGAAUUUUAAAGAAGAGAUAGAAAAUGUAAAAAAGUACCAAAUGGAAGUCACAUGGCUAAAGAAUACAAUAACUACUGAAAAAUACAGUAUAAGGGUUAAAUAAUAGACUAGAUGAAACAGAAGAAAGGGACAGCUAACUCAAAAGCAGAGAAGUAAAACUCAUC